GGACCACAAGGAAAGCAUGGUGCGCCGCGCGAGUGGCCACAGGGAACCGGGUGCAACUCCCGGACUGCCCCCGCAACUGUAAGCGGAGAGUGCCGAGGAACGUCCCACUGGCCGCGAGGCCGGGAAGGGCCGAGGCGCGAUGACCCGCAAGUCAGGAGACCUGCCAUGUGCCCCCUUUUCCA
This 182-nucleotide non-coding RNA is filed under the name Marinovum algicola. The record is from RNAcentral. Lineage: Bacteria; Pseudomonadati; Pseudomonadota; Alphaproteobacteria; Rhodobacterales; Roseobacteraceae.